Molecule: ribosomal RNA, 143 nt
Organism: Coprinopsis cinerea okayama7#130
Lineage: Eukaryota; Fungi; Basidiomycota; Agaricomycetes; Agaricales; Psathyrellaceae
Source: RefSeq, a predicted model, not a curated record
GGGAUAGAGCAUGCAAAUUAUUGCUCUUCAGCGAGGAAUACCUAGUAAGCGUGAGUCAUCAGCUCGCGUUGAUUACGUCCCUGCCCUUUGUACACACCGCCCGUCGCUACUACCGAUUGAAUGGCUUAGUGAGGUCUCCGGAU